CCGGCGACCGGCGCACGGGUGAGUAACACGUAUGCAACCUGGCCGUCACAGGUGGAUAACCGGAAGAAAUUCCGACUAAUACAGCAUAACACUCCUGAGGGACACCCCUUGGGAGUCAAAGGAGGCAACUCCGGUGACGGAUGGGCAUGCGGCGCAUUAGGUAGUUGGUAGGGUAACGGCCUACCAAGCCGACGAUGCGUAGGGGUUCUGAGAGGAAGGUCCCCCACAUUGGAACUGAGACACGGUCCAAACUCCUACGGAAGGCAGCAG
Molecule: ribosomal RNA, 270 nt
Filed under: uncultured bacterium
Lineage: Bacteria
Description: partial 16S ribosomal RNA
Rfam family: Bacterial small subunit ribosomal RNA
Source: RNAcentral